GCCUACGGGGCGCAGCAGGGGGGGAUAUUGCACAAUGGGGGGAACCCUGAUGCAGCGACGCCGCGUGGGCGAAGGAGUAUUUCGGUAUGUAAAGCCCUAUCAGCAGGGAAGAAGAAAUGACGGUCCCUGAGUAAGAAGCACCGGCUAAAUACGUGCCAGCAGCCGCGGUAAUACGUAUGGUGCAAGCGUUAUCCGGAUUUACUGGGUGUAAAGGGAGCGCAGGCGGCCCGCCAAGCCUGAUUUGAAAUCCCGC
This 253-nucleotide ribosomal RNA is filed under the name uncultured bacterium. RNAcentral's name for it is "partial 16S ribosomal RNA". It matches the Rfam family "Bacterial small subunit ribosomal RNA", at positions 337 to 605 of the family's 1533-position model. The record is from RNAcentral.